GACGAACGCUGGCGGCGUGCUUAACACAUGCAAGUCGAACGAAGGGGCGAACGGGUGAGUAACGCGUAUUCAACCUGCCCUUCAGAGGGGGACAACAGUUGGAAACGACUGCUAAUACCGCAUAAUGCAGGAGGGGAUUGAGUGUGAUUAGCUAGUUGGUGGGGUAACGGCCCACCAAGGCGAUGAACAGUAGCCGGUCUGAGAGGAUGAACGGCCACAUUGGGACUGAGACACGGCCCAGACUCCUACGGGAGGCAGCAGUGGGGAAUCUGCCGCAAUGGACGAAAGUCUGACGGAGCAACGCCGCGGGAGGGAUGACGGUCUUCGGGUUGUAAAGCUCUGUUAAUCGGGACGCGGUACCUGAAUAGAAAGCCACGGCUAACUACGUGCCAGCAGCCGCGGUAAUUC
This 408-nucleotide ribosomal RNA is filed under the name uncultured bacterium. Its description in RNAcentral is "partial 16S ribosomal RNA". It matches the Rfam family "Bacterial small subunit ribosomal RNA", at positions 28 to 526 of the family's 1533-position model. The record is from RNAcentral.